UACAGAGGGUGCAAGCGUUAAUCGGAAUUACUGGGCGUAAAGCGUGCGUAGACGGUAGCGUAAGUCGGGUGUGAAAGCCCCCGGGCUCAACCUGGGAAUUGCAUUCGAGACUGCUCUGCUAGGGUGCGGAAGAGGGGAGCGGAAUUUCCGGUGUAGCGGUGAAAUGCGUAGAUAUCGGAAGGAACACCAGUGGCGAAAGCGGCUCCCCUGGUCCAGCACCGACGUUCAGGCACGAAAGCGUGGGGAGCAAACAGG
RNAcentral lists this ribosomal RNA (255 nucleotides) under uncultured bacterium. Its description in RNAcentral is "partial 16S ribosomal RNA". It matches the Rfam family "Bacterial small subunit ribosomal RNA", at positions 524 to 776 of the family's 1533-position model. The record is from RNAcentral.